AGCUAGUUGGCGGGGUAAUGGCCCACCAAGGCAGUGAUCAGUAGCCGGCCUGAGAGGGCGCACGGCCACACUGGAACUGAAACACGGUCCAGACUCCUACGGGAGGCAGCAGUGGGGAAUUUUGCGCAAUGGGGGAAACCCUGACGCAGCAACGCCGCGUGGAGGAUGACGCCCCUUGGGGUGUAAACUCCUUUCGAUCGGGACGAUUAUGACGGUACCGGAUGAAGAAGCACCGGCUAACUUCGUGCCAGCAGCCGCGGUAAUACGAGGGGGGCGAGCGUUGUUCGGAAUUAUUGGGCGUAAAGGGUGCGUAGGCGGUUUUGUAAGUCUUAUGUGAAAUCUAUGGGCUCAACUCAUAGACUGCAUGAGAAACUGCAGGGCUUGAGGAUGGGAGAGGUGAGUGGAAUUCCUGGUGUAGCGGUGAAAUGCGUAGAUAUCAGGAGGAACACCUGUGGCGAAAGCGGCUCACUGGACCAUUUCUGACGCUGAUGCACGAAAGCUAGGGGAGCAAACAGGAUUAGAUACCCUGGUAGUCCUAGCCCUAAACGAUGGGCACUAGGUGUGGGACUCUAUCGACGGGUUCCGUGCCGUAGCUAACGCAUUAAGUGCCCCGCCUGGGGAGUACGGCCGCAAGGCUAAA
Molecule: ribosomal RNA, 640 nt
Filed under: uncultured soil bacterium
Lineage: Bacteria
Description: bacterial SSU rRNA
Rfam family: Bacterial small subunit ribosomal RNA
Source: RNAcentral